RNAcentral lists this long non-coding RNA (690 nucleotides) under Vigna radiata. Its description in RNAcentral is "long non-coding RNA (VRAD_LNC005552)". Lineage: Eukaryota; Viridiplantae; Streptophyta; Magnoliopsida; Fabales; Fabaceae. The record is from RNAcentral.
GCUUUCGGUGGCGGUGAUCGGGGAUGGCAAAAGUUGAUACAAUGGCAAUUACACCUACCACUGUAAGAACUGCUGAUGCUGUAAUGGCCACCUUCACCUGUCAAAUUUCAUGUGUUUCAGAAACAAAAUAGCAAUAAAUGUGAACCUAACAGGUUAUUUCUUAUUAUAGAACACAUAUUCACUGAUCGUAUAAGAUUUUUUGCUAGUUUGUCAUUGGAGUUGAUGUUUGGCCAUUCUUUUUGUUUCUGCAAGAAAAUUAAUAUGAUGAAAACUUCAUGCUGUGGAUUCUAUGAGGGGGGAGAAAUGGGUGACAUUGGAUGCCAAUUGUAAGGAAAUGAAUGAGGUAAUUUUUCUCAUAUGUUAUUUGUUUUUAUCUGAAAUAUUUGUUGUCAUUAGUUAUUCUUUUGAAAGAGUUACCCUAAUUAUUAGGUUGUUAUAUUCUCAGCUACAAAUACUUCCAAACUUUGAAUUGAGACUGAAAUAAAUUUGUUUAUUUAUAGUUUAUUAGUGUCAAAUUUAUACUAUCUUGGUCAUUGAUUUUGAUUAAAUGUUAAAUACUUUGAUUUAUACACUGAGAAAAUCACUUGGUCUUGAAAGAGGUGGUAGAUCAGGAAUAAACUUGCCUUUCCUUUGGGUGAAGAAUACCAGAAAUAGAUGAGAACGUAAGAUAGUUCAAAGAGAACCCCAACU